This 278-nucleotide long non-coding RNA is filed under the name Chlamydomonas reinhardtii. Its description in RNAcentral is "long non-coding RNA (CREI_LNC000614)". The record is from RNAcentral. Lineage: Eukaryota; Viridiplantae; Chlorophyta; Chlorophyceae; Chlamydomonadales; Chlamydomonadaceae.
UUAUCCUGACAGUAAAAGGACUAGCUAGCAGAUGACAGACCAUCGUUUCCACAGCACCGCACUACAACUAUCCCCCCUCCAGAUGAGGCGUCCCGACGAAUUCAACUCGCAGAUACGGGAGCAGAGCUGCGAUACUCCUCAGUUCAGACGUAUCCCCGGAAGCAGAGCCUGCAUACUUCCGUGCCCAGCAGAUGGCGCGGAUCGAACCCGUGACUUGAGGAUAGCUGGUCUCGAUACCACUUAUUGUGCUGCGUUAUCCUGACAGUAAAAGGACUAGC